AAAUUGUUCCCUCCGUCCAAUAAAAGAUGUCUCUGACUAAAUUUGAAUGCAUUUAUACACUAAGUCAUGUUUAGAUAUAUUCAAAUUGUAAUAAACUUGAGACAUCUUUUGUUGGACGGAGGAAGUAUGUC
Brachypodium distachyon (stiff brome) is the source of this 131-nucleotide non-coding RNA. NCBI's taxonomy places the organism in Eukaryota, Viridiplantae, Streptophyta, Magnoliopsida, Poales, Poaceae. The record is from Rfam.